Molecule: ribosomal RNA, 840 nt
Filed under: Leifsonia sp. BFER99
Lineage: Bacteria; Bacillati; Actinomycetota; Actinomycetes; Micrococcales; Microbacteriaceae
Description: bacterial SSU rRNA
Rfam family: Bacterial small subunit ribosomal RNA
Source: RNAcentral
GAGCUUGCUCUAGGGAAUUAGUGGCGAACGGGUGAGUAACACGUGAGUAACCUGCCCUUGACUCUGGGAUAACCUCCGGAAACGGAAGCUAAUACCGGAUACGACGUACGGAGGCAUCUCCUGUACGUGGAAAGAACUUCGGUCAAGGAUGGACUCGCGGCCUAUCAGGUAGUUGGUGAGGUAACGGCUCACCAAGCCUACGACGGGUAGCCGGCCUGAGAGGGUGACCGGCCACACUGGGACUGAGACACGGCCCAGACUCCUACGGGAGGCAGCAGUGGGGAAUAUUGCACAAUGGGCGCAAGCCUGAUGCAGCAACGCCGCGUGAGGGACGACGGCCUUCGGGUUGUAAACCUCUUUUAGUAGGGAAGAAGCGAAAGUGACGGUACCUGCAGAAAAAGCACCGGCUAACUACGUGCCAGCAGCCGCGGUAAUACGUAGGGUGCGAGCGUUGUCCGGAAUUAUUGGGCGUAAAGAGCUCGUAGGCGGUCUGUCGCGUCUGCUGUGAAAACCCGAGGCUCAACCUCGGGCCUGCAGUGGGUACGGGCAGACUAGAGUGCGGUAGGGGAGAAUGGAAUUCCUGGUGUAGCGGUGGAAUGCGCAGAUAUCAGGAGGAACACCGAUGGCGAAGGCAGUUCUCUGGGCCGUAACUGACGCUGAGGAGCGAAAGCGUGGGGAGCGAACAGGAUUAGAUACCCUGGUAGUCCACGCCGUAAACGUUGGGCGCUAGAUGUGGGGACCAUUCCACGGUUUCCGUGUCGCAGCUAACGCAUUAAGCGCCCCGCCUGGGGAGUACGGCGCAAGGCUAAAACUCAAAGGAAUUGACGGGGCCCGCACAAG